Molecule: ribosomal RNA, 683 nt
Filed under: uncultured Bacteroidales bacterium
Lineage: Bacteria; Pseudomonadati; Bacteroidota; Bacteroidia; Bacteroidales
Description: bacterial SSU rRNA
Rfam family: Bacterial small subunit ribosomal RNA
Source: RNAcentral
CAGCAUGGUCUUAGCUUGCUAAGACUGAUGGCGACCGGCGCACGGGUGAGUAACACGUAUCCAACCUGCCGUCUACUCUUGGACAGCCUUCUGAAAGGAAGAUUAAUACAAGAUGGCAUCAUGAGUCCGCAUGUUCACAUGAUUAAAGGUAUUCCGGUAGACGAUGGGGAUGCGUUCCAUUAGAUAGUAGGCGGGGUAACGGCCCACCUAGUCUUCGAUGGAUAGGGGUUCUGAGAGGAAGGUCCCCCACAUUGGAACUGAGACACGGUCCAAACUCCUACGGGAGGCAGCAGUGAGGAAUAUUGGUCAAUGGGCGAGAGCCUGAACCAGCCAAGUAGCGUGAAGGAUGACUGCCCUAUGGGUUGUAAACUUCUUUUAUAAAGGAAUAAAGUCGGGUAUGUAUACCCGUUUGCAUGUACUUUAUGAAUAAGGAUCGGCUAACUCCGUGCCAGCAGCCGCGGUAACACGGAGGAUCCGAGCGUUAUCCGGAUUUAUUGGGUUUAAAGGGAGCGUAGAUGGAUGUUUAAGUCAGUUGUGAAAGUUUGCGGCUCAACCGUAAAAUUGCAGUUGAUACUGGGUAUCUUGAGUGCAGUUGAGGCAGGCGGAAUUCGUGGUGUAGCGGUGAAAUGCUUAGAUAUCACGAAGAACUCCGAUUGCGAAGGCAGCCUGCUAAGCUGCAACUG